UACGGAGGGUGCUAGCGUUGUUCGGAAUCACUGGGCGUAAAGGGCAUGUAGGCGGUCUGUUAAGUCUGAUGUGAAAUCCCCUCGCUCAACGAGGGAACUGCGUCGGAUACUGGCAGACUCGAGUACCGGAGAGGAAGGUGGAAUUCCCGGUGUAGCGGUGGAAUGCGUAGAUAUCGGGAGGAACACCGGUGGCGAAGGCGGCCUUCUGGACGGAUACUGACGCUGAGACGCGAAAGCGUGGGGAGCAAACAGG
RNAcentral lists this ribosomal RNA (253 nucleotides) under uncultured bacterium. RNAcentral describes it as "partial 16S ribosomal RNA". It matches the Rfam family "Bacterial small subunit ribosomal RNA", at positions 524 to 776 of the family's 1533-position model. The record is from RNAcentral.